This 357-nucleotide ribosomal RNA is filed under the name Tetragnatha sp. RNAcentral describes it as "partial large subunit ribosomal RNA". Lineage: Eukaryota; Metazoa; Arthropoda; Arachnida; Araneae; Tetragnathidae. The record is from RNAcentral.
AAUCAUUAGCCUCUUAAUUAGAGGCUGGAAUGAAUGGUUUAACAUUUCCUUAACUUUUUUAAAAAUUAUAAACAAAUUUAUAUUAAAUAUAAAAAUAUAUUUAUAUAUAAACCAGACGACAAGACCCUUUCAAACUUUACUGUAGUUAAGCUGGGGUAGCUCAAUAAUUAAUAUCUUAUUAUUUUUUAAAAAAUAGACCCAGUUAAAAUUGAUCAAAUGAACAAGUUACUGAAGGGAUAACAGCAUAAUAAAUUUAUAUAGCUCUUAUUAAAAAAUUAGUUUAUGACCUCGAUGUUGAAUUAUAUUACUUCUACACGCAAGAGUGUGGAAAGUAGGUCUGUUCGACCUUUAAAUUUU